CACCGAUCAGCUUGCAUGAAGUGACUUAUUGCAUGAUCGCAUUGCUGCUUGUCAACUGAAAAUUUGAGUUACCAGUGUAUUGGUGGCAGUACAGUAAUGGGCGCAAUGUCUGCAUUGAAGGAGGAAGCGUUGGAGGAAUAAUCAGAGCAUUCUGGAAUCUUUGCAGGCRGAUUCUGCGUUUGAGCCUAAAACUCCAGUCAGACUUACAGAAGCUCAAGAACAUUGGUUAUCUCUUAUGUUACAUGUGGACAGGACACUUUUCAGGGCAGAUACUGACACUUCGUGGUCUGUUGGUCUUAUGCCAAGUCUCACUGCAAAGAAAAUCCUAUUUGACUUCUGAAAUGGAUGAAAUGAGCAUUCAAAAGCACAGUUUUGUUUCUAGUCACUCCAUUAUUCUUAAUAAGAUAAUGUGUUAUAAAUAUGCUAAAUUAUGUUACUUUGAAUCAAAU
RNAcentral lists this long non-coding RNA (449 nucleotides) under Dromaius novaehollandiae (emu). Its description in RNAcentral is "lncRNA (ENSDNVG00000015776.1)". The record is from RNAcentral. Lineage: Eukaryota; Metazoa; Chordata; Aves; Casuariiformes; Dromaiidae.